AGAGCUGGCUCGUCGUUAAAGUAUCGAGCCAAAAAAUUUAGCUCGUGUUCUGCUCGUUAAUAAAUGAGCCGAACACGAGCUGACUCAUGAGCUGGCCAACGAACAAUAAGNAAUAAACGAGCCGAACACGAGCUGGCUUGUUAAAAUAUCGAGUCGAAAAAUUCAGCUUGUGUUCGGCUCGGCCGAAAAAUUCAGCUCGUGUUCGGCUCGUUAAUAUGCUCACGAGCUGGCCAACGAACAAUAAGUUAAAAAGAUUAAAUUGAAUAUAUAUAAAAAAUAAAUUUAUAAAAUCUUAUCCAUUAGACUUUGAUCUAAUGGUUGAAACUUUAUAUAUAAAUAAAUUUUUUUAUUUAUGAGUUCACUUUUAUAUUUUUAUUUUACUAAAAAUUAAAUAAUAAAAAUAUAUAUUAUAUAUAUAAGUAUUUAUUUAUAUAUAUAAAUAUAAAUUAAAUAAAUUAUAUAAAUAUAAAAUAUAUGUAUUUGAGCUGUUAUCGAGCCGAACACGAGCGAGCAGGAGUGCUGCUUCACAGAGAAGCU
RNAcentral lists this long non-coding RNA (537 nucleotides) under Ananas comosus (pineapple). RNAcentral describes it as "long non-coding RNA (ACOM_LNC007414)". Lineage: Eukaryota; Viridiplantae; Streptophyta; Magnoliopsida; Poales; Bromeliaceae. The record is from RNAcentral.